Molecule: ribosomal RNA, 445 nt
Filed under: uncultured bacterium
Lineage: Bacteria
Description: partial 16S ribosomal RNA
Rfam family: Bacterial small subunit ribosomal RNA
Source: RNAcentral
GUGAGGAAUAUUGGUCAAUGGGCGGGAGCCUGAACCAACCAAGUCGCGUGAAGGAAGAAGGAUCUAUGGUUCGUAAACUUCUUUUGCAGGGGAAUAAAGUGCAGGACGUGUCCUGUUUUGUAUGUACCCUGAGAAUAAGGAUCGGCUAACUCCGUGCCAGCAGCCGCGGUAAUACGGAGGAUCCGAGCGUUAUCCGGAUUUAUUGGGUUUAAAGGGUGCGUAGGUGGUUUGAUAAGUCAGCGGUGAAAGUUUGCAGCUUAACUGUAAAAAUGCCGUUGAAACUGUCGGACUUGAGUGUAAAUGAGGUAGGCGGAAUGCGUGGUGUAGCGGUGAAAUGCAUAGAUAUCACGCAGAACUCCGAUUGCGAAGGCAGCUUACUAAGCUACAACUGACACUGAAGCACGAAAGCGUGGGGAUCAAACAGGAUUAGAAACCCUGGUAGUCC